This 301-nucleotide ribosomal RNA is filed under the name uncultured bacterium. RNAcentral describes it as "partial 16S ribosomal RNA". It matches the Rfam family "Bacterial small subunit ribosomal RNA", at positions 509 to 807 of the family's 1533-position model. The record is from RNAcentral.
CAGUAGCCGCGGGAAUACGGAGGGCGCGAGCGUUACCCGGAUUUACUGGACGUAAAGGGCGUGUAGGCGGCCUGGGGCGUCCCAUGUGAAAGGCCACGGCUCAACCGUGGAGGAGCGUGGGAUACGCUCAGGCUAGAGGGUGGGAGAGGGUGGUGGAAUUCCCGGAGUAGCGGUGAAAUGCGCAGAUACCGGGAGGAACGCCGAUGGCGAAGGCAGCCACCUGGUCCACUUCUGACGCUGAGGCGCGAAAGCGUGGGGAGCAAACCGGAUUAGAUACCCGCGUAGUCCCUGUCUCUUAUAC